UUCUACUUUCCAGCACAAGCUGUCAAAAACAACAACAAUCAUCAUAAAUAUAGAGGGUCAAAUUGGGCUGUGAACCAAGCCUGCCACGUUGGAACCAAGUACUCUGGAAGCAGACUAUGGAUGUUCGACUUACAGGAAUAUGAAAGCGUGACUGCAUGUUGUCCUGCUGCUUCCUAAAUAAUGUCUCCAAGGGAAUUUAAGGAGAGAAAACACUUGGAAAUUCCUCAGUGGAGAAUAUGCCCAAGCAACUUAUCUUCUCAGUACAAAAUCUC
Molecule: long non-coding RNA, 272 nt
Filed under: Gallus gallus (chicken)
Lineage: Eukaryota; Metazoa; Chordata; Aves; Galliformes; Phasianidae
Source: RNAcentral